AUGCAAAGAACUCACAGGACCCAUGCAGUGGUGAGUAAUCUCUCCUUAUUUUUAUUAACAGGACUGCAAUGCUGAAUGUUACUGUGUGUAACCCCUCUGUGAAGACUUAGAAGGCAAGAUAGGUGUUAUCUCUGCAGCUGGGAGUGCCAGGUCCUUUCGCUGGAUGUUUUCCAGUGACCUUUGGAGUCCCUGCAGGGAGUGAGGGGCCCUAUCUCACGUCACCCGCCAGUGGUUCCAUGAGAGUUGAUGCUGCCCCAUCAGCCUGCCACGUGGUCAGUCUGGCAGUGAAAUCGCUCUGCAGCAGGGUCAACGUGCUGCAGAUGGGAAUUUCAGCACAGUAUUCCAACCUAUACCCCCAAGAUCAUGUCCACAGUACAAACAAGGACUGGUUAGAAAGGAUGAUAAAGCCUAAGCCAUGCUGUACCAUCUUCUUUUUAAAAAUCCUUUGAGGUCCAUAAAAAGUUAUGUCUAAGUCAGUGACAUCACUAUGUUUGAAUUGUUUCCUCUGCAGAUCUUCCUCUGGCAAAUUUAGGCUGCACCUGGUCCAAUGGCUUUGGCAUGUCCUUUCUCUGUGCCAGUUUCAAAGCGAGCUUCUGGACCAGCAGGAGCUGAAUGCCUGGGUGGCUUCCUAAGGUACACCUGGAAGACAAGCAAAGGCCCAUAGAGGGAAGACAGAUAGAUCCGUCUGCUCUGCAGACUGCCAGGGAUAGCAACAAGGGGAAAUUCUGUGCAUCCUUACCCCUCCCGAGCUGAAGCGUGCAACUCGGGCUUUUAGGAAGUCCGUGGAUUUGCACGGGAGCUGCUGUAGGAACAUGCUGUGCUACCUGGUCGAGAAGUCACGGCAGCUGGGAGGUGCAGAUCCUCCCUCUCUGCAGUCGGCGGUGCGGGAAUCUUUCUCCAAAGCAGCCAGGAAACGAAGGCUGGGGAGGCAAACAGUGUCUGCGAGGGGGCUGCGGCCGCAGGGCCGGGCGCACG
RNAcentral lists this long non-coding RNA (975 nucleotides) under Apteryx rowi (Okarito brown kiwi). RNAcentral describes it as "lncRNA (ENSARWG00000015344.1)". Lineage: Eukaryota; Metazoa; Chordata; Aves; Apterygiformes; Apterygidae. The record is from RNAcentral.